Molecule: ribosomal RNA, 310 nt
Filed under: uncultured Prevotella sp.
Lineage: Bacteria; Pseudomonadati; Bacteroidota; Bacteroidia; Bacteroidales; Prevotellaceae
Description: bacterial SSU rRNA
Rfam family: Bacterial small subunit ribosomal RNA
Source: RNAcentral
GACGAACGCUGGCGGCGUGCCUAACACAUGCAAGUCGAACGGGGAUUUUGUUUCGGCAGAAUCCUAGUGGCGAACGGGUGAGUAACGCGUAUCCAACCUUCCCCAUAGUAGGGCAUAGCCCGUAGAAAUGCGGAUUAAUACCCUAUGUAUUCCGAGGAUGACAUCUGAUUCGGAACAAAGGUUCACCGCUAUGGGAUGGGGAUGCGUCUGAUUAGGUAGUCGGCGGGGUAACGGCCCACCGAGCCAUCGAUCAGUAGGGGUUCUGAGAGGAAGGUCCCCCACAUUGGAACUGAGACACGGUCCAAACUCC